Transfer RNA from Microbacterium sp. Root53, 74 nucleotides. It matches the Rfam family "tRNA". From Rfam's summary of the family: Transfer RNA (tRNA) molecules are approximately 80 nucleotides in length. Their secondary structure includes four short double-helical elements and three loops (D, anti-codon, and T loops). Lineage: Bacteria; Bacillati; Actinomycetota; Actinomycetes; Micrococcales; Microbacteriaceae. The record is from Rfam.
CGGGAUGUGGCGCAGCUUGGUAGCGCACCUGACUGGGGGUCAGGGGGUCGCAGGUUCAAAUCCUGUCAUCCCGA